GAUCAUGGCUCGGGAUGAACGCUAGCUACAGGCUUAACACAUGCAAGUCGAGGGGCAGCAUGGUCUUAGCUUGCUAAGGCCGAUGGCGACCGGCGCACGGGUGAGUAACACGUAUCCAACCUGCCGUCUACUCUUGGACAGCCUUCUGAAAGGAAGAUUAAUACAAGAUGGCAUCAUGAGUCCACAUGUUCACAUGAAUUAAAGGUAUUCCGGUAGACGAUGGGGG
This 226-nucleotide ribosomal RNA is filed under the name uncultured bacterium. RNAcentral's name for it is "partial 16S ribosomal RNA". It matches the Rfam family "Bacterial small subunit ribosomal RNA", at positions 15 to 231 of the family's 1533-position model. The record is from RNAcentral.